GUUAGUUAGGGUUAGUUUUGAGAAUUGAUUAAAUAAUCCCUGUUGGGCACUUGAGACAGUGCGAGGCACAUAUGAAGUAUUUCAUGAAUGGUAAUUAUUUCUGCUGUAAUAUCAGCUUCGAAGACAUAGACUUGAAGAGGGUAGGGGAGAGGCACCAAAGAAAAGUUAUAUCCCUGAAACAGGUCUUCUCAAAGUCAACUUUAUCCACGCAAUCUUAUCUCUACAGGAAAGAUUGUGUAUCAGAUCAAAGCCAAGGGACACAGCCAUGUGGCCACAUUGCAGAGGUGUCCUCUCCUCCAGGCAAGCUCUGGGAGGAUGGCAAUUCUGUCUCUCAAUGGUGUGAUUUGGAAAGAAUAGAGGAAAGUCCAGGCUUCUUCUUAAAAUCAUUGACAUGGUAUCAGCAGGAAGGCUUGGGAAGCAACCAAGCAAGAAGGGCUGGAAAUUGGAGAACACAAGUAUUUUUUGUAGGCAACCUCUGUUUGCUGGGCACUCAGUUUCAGACAACAGGAGUGGAUCUGGGGUGGUCCUCCGAAGAACACAUGGUGAAUGUAUCAGAAAAAUAG
RNAcentral lists this long non-coding RNA (563 nucleotides) under Canis lupus familiaris (dog). RNAcentral's name for it is "lncRNA (ENSCAFG00845003192.1)". Lineage: Eukaryota; Metazoa; Chordata; Mammalia; Carnivora; Canidae. The record is from RNAcentral.